RNAcentral lists this microRNA (22 nucleotides) under Pteropus alecto (black flying fox). RNAcentral describes it as "pal-miR-8908e-3p". Lineage: Eukaryota; Metazoa; Chordata; Mammalia; Chiroptera; Pteropodidae. The record is from miRBase by way of RNAcentral.
AAUUUGCACCGUUCUGAGUAGA